AAUUGAAGAGUUUGAUCCUGGCUCAGAUUGAACGCUGGCGGCGUGGCUAAAGCAUGCAAGUCGAACGAGAACCCAGCAAUGGGGGACAGUGGCGGAAGGGCGAGUAAUGCAUUCCUACGUGCCUCGAGGUGGGGGAUAGGUCGGGGAAACCCGGCGUAAUACCCCAUGUCCUCUCCGGAGAAAAGGUUUACCGCCUUGAGAGCGGGGAAUGUCCUAUCAGGUAGUUGGUGAGGUAAUGGCUCACCAAGCCAAUGACGGGUAGCGGGUGUGAGAGCAUGACCCGCCGCAUCGGGACUGAGACACUGCCCGGACUCCUACGGGAGGCUGCAGCGACGAAUAUUCCGCAAUGCGCGAAAGCGUGACGGAGCGACGCCGCGUGCAGGAUGAAGCGGCUCUGCCGUGUAAACUGCUGUCAGGGUAUAGAAAAACUGAUCAUACCCAAAGGAAGGGCCUGCUAAUCUCGUGCCAGCAGCAGCGGUAAUACGAGAGGCCCGAGCGUUAAUCGGAAUCACUGGGCUUAAAGGGUGCGUAGGCGGACGUGCAAGUGCUUCGUGAAAUCCCCCGUCUCAACCGGGGAACUGCGGGGCAGACUGCAUGUCUUGAGGCAGGUAGAGGUCGCCGGAACGCUAGGUGGAGCGGUGAAAUGCGUAGAUAUCUAGCGGAACGCCCGAGGUGAAGACGGGCGACUGGGCCUGUCCUGACGCUGAGGCACGAAAGCGUGGGGAGCAAACAGGAUUAGAUACCCUGGUAGUCCACGCCGUAAACGAUGCGCACUAGAUCGGGGCGGCUCUGACGUCGUCCCGGUCGUCGUAAAAACACUAAGUGCGCCGCCUGGGGAGUACGGUCGCAAGGCUAAAACUCAAAGGAAUUGACGGGGGCUCACACAAGCGGUGGAGCAUGUUGCUUAAUUCGAAGCGACGCGAAGAACCUUAUCCUGGACUUGACAUGCACGGAUUAGUCUUGUGAAAGCAGGAUGACACCUUCGGGUGGAACGUGCACAGGUGCUGCAUGGCUGUCGUCAGCUCGUGCUGUGAAGUGUCGGGUUAAGUCCCUCAACGAGCGCAACCCCUGUCGCUAGUUGCCAGCGAGUCAUGUCGGGGACUCUAGCGAGACUGCCGGUGUCAAACCGGAGGAAGGUGGGGAUGACGUCAAGUCCUCAUGGCCUUUAUGUCCAGGGCUGCAAACGUGCUACAAUGGCGUAUACAAAGCGAUGCGAGGCCGCGAGGCGGAGCAAAUCGCAAAAAGUACGCCCCAGUUCAGAUUGCAGUCUGCAACUCGACUGCAUGAAGUCGGAAUCGCUAGUAAUCGGAGAUCAGCUACGCUCCGGUGAAUACGUUCCUGAGCCUUGUACACACCGCCCGUCAAGUCAUGGAAGCCGGGAGCGCCCGAAGUCGCCUCAUCUCAGAGGUGCCUACGGCGAGCUCGGUGACUGGGACUAAGUCGUAACAAGGUAGCCGUAGGGGAACCUGCGGCUGGAUCACCUCCUUUCUA
Molecule: ribosomal RNA, 1491 nt
Filed under: Phycisphaerales bacterium
Lineage: Bacteria; Pseudomonadati; Planctomycetota; Phycisphaerae; Phycisphaerales
Description: bacterial SSU rRNA
Rfam family: Bacterial small subunit ribosomal RNA
Source: RNAcentral